AGGACGAACGCUGGCGGCGUGCUUAACACAUGCAAGUCGAGCGGAAAGGCCCUUCGGGGUACUCGAGCGGCGAACGGAUGAGUAACACGUGAGCAACCUGCCCUUAGCUUCGGGAUAGCUCCGGGAAACCGGAAUUAAUACCGAAUAUGAUUUUUGCUGACAUCAGCAGAAGUGGAAAGUUUUUCGGCUAGGGAUGGACUCGCGGCCUAUCAGCUAGUUGGUGAGGUAACGGCCCACCAAGGCGACGACGGGUA
RNAcentral lists this ribosomal RNA (254 nucleotides) under uncultured bacterium. Its description in RNAcentral is "partial small subunit ribosomal RNA". It matches the Rfam family "Bacterial small subunit ribosomal RNA", at positions 26 to 285 of the family's 1533-position model. The record is from RNAcentral.